Molecule: long non-coding RNA, 282 nt
Organism: Polypterus senegalus (gray bichir)
Lineage: Eukaryota; Metazoa; Chordata; Cladistia; Polypteriformes; Polypteridae
Exons: 3
Source: RefSeq, a predicted model, not a curated record
UCAAAGAAUGCAGAGAGAUUUUUCAGAAGGUCUCCUCGACAGGCAGGCAUACAAACUUAUAGAAAAAACAGGAAAGUCGAGGCUAGCCGGUGACAAUACCAGGAUCCACACUGGCUGAACGAAACACCAGAAGAAUAAAAGACGGACACCAAGCGGCAAUCUUUCCUUCAGUAUUUCUCCUCUUUUCCAUCCAAAGGUGUGCCCCAGUGCCAUAAAGCAACAUGACUGAAGACUGCUUAGAUAAAUCUGUGCAAGUGGAACAUGGAAACUGCUUGUCUUCAC